This 205-nucleotide long non-coding RNA is filed under the name Elaeis guineensis (African oil palm). RNAcentral describes it as "long non-coding RNA (EGUI_LNC071869)". Lineage: Eukaryota; Viridiplantae; Streptophyta; Magnoliopsida; Arecales; Arecaceae. The record is from RNAcentral.
UCGGACACUUCUGAUGUUGAAGAUGGAUCAGAGGAGGUGCUAGAUGGUAGAGAAAAAAAUUAGAGAAGAACUCUCUUCUCACUAGUAUUUUUUCUCACCUGAAGACCCUAGAACAAUUCUAGGUCUCUCACUCGAAGAGGAGUUGGAUCUCCUCCAAUGCUCAUGCCAAAAUGAAUAGCGCCCACCCCAGAUCCUCACACCCCUA